GAACCACUUCGGUGGGGAUUAGUGGCGAACGGGUGAGUAACACGUGGGCAAUCUGCCCUGCACUCUGGGACAAGCCCUGGAAACGGGGUCUAAUACCGGAUACUGAUCCGUCUGGGCAUCCAGACGGUUCGAAAGCUCCGGCGGUGCAGGAUGAGCCCGCGGCCUAUCAGCUUGUUGGUGAGGUAGUGGCUCACCAAGGCGACGACGGGUAGCCGGCCUGAGAGGGCGACCGGCCACACUGGGACUGAGACACGGCCCAGACUCCUACGGGAGGCAGCAGUGGGGAAUAUUGCACAAUGGGCGAAAGCCUGAUGCAGCGACGCCGCGUGAGGGAUGACGGCCUUCGGGUUGUAAACCUCUUUCAGCAGGGAAGAAGCGAAAGUGACGGUACCUGCAGAAGAAGCGCCGGCUAACUACGUGCCAGCAGCCGCGGUAAUACGUAGGGCGCGAGCGUUGUCCGGAAUUAUUGGGCGUAAAGAGCUCGUAGGCGGCUUGUCACGUCGGUUGUGAAAGCCCGGGGCUUAACCCCGGGUCUGCAGUCGAUACGGGCAGGCUAGAGUUCGGUAGGGGAGAUCGGAAUUCCUGGUGUAGCGGUGAAAUGCGCAGAUAUCAGGAGGAACACCGGUGGCGAAGGCGGAUCUCUGGGCCGAUACUGACGCUGAGGAGCGAAAGCGUGGGGAGCGAACAGGAUUAGAUACCCUGGUAGUCCACGCCGUAAACGGUGGGCACUAGGUGUGGGCAACAUUCCACGUUGUCCGUGCCGCAGCUAACGCAUUAAGUGCCCCGCCUGGGGAGUACGGCCGCAAGGCUAAAACUCAAAGGAAUUGACUGGGGCCCGCACAAGCGGCGGAGCAUGUGGCUUAAUUCGACGCAACGCGAAGAACCUUACCAAAGCUUGACAUACACCGGAACGUCUGGAGACAGCGCCCCUUGUGUCGGUGUACAGGUGGUGCAU
This 955-nucleotide ribosomal RNA is filed under the name Streptomyces sp. RNAcentral's name for it is "bacterial SSU rRNA". It matches the Rfam family "Bacterial small subunit ribosomal RNA", at positions 72 to 1046 of the family's 1533-position model. The record is from RNAcentral. Lineage: Bacteria; Bacillati; Actinomycetota; Actinomycetes; Kitasatosporales; Streptomycetaceae.